This 112-nucleotide small nuclear RNA is filed under the name Drepanopeziza brunnea f. sp. 'multigermtubi' MB_m1. The record is from RNAcentral. Lineage: Eukaryota; Fungi; Ascomycota; Leotiomycetes; Helotiales; Drepanopezizaceae.
GUGGUAAACCCAACACUAACACUCAUCUAGAAUUUGAAACGAUACAGAGAAGAUUAGCAUGGCCCCUGCACUAAGGAUGACACGCUCAAUCAAAGAGAAGCUACCAAUUUUU